GGGGGCAUAGCUCAGUUGGGAGAGCAGCAGACUGAAGACUUUCAUAUAGUUGAUCUGAAGGUCCCGCGUUCAAUCCGCGGUGCCCCCA
Termitomyces sp. J132 is the source of this 88-nucleotide transfer RNA. It matches the Rfam family "tRNA". Rfam says of the family: Transfer RNA (tRNA) molecules are approximately 80 nucleotides in length. Their secondary structure includes four short double-helical elements and three loops (D, anti-codon, and T loops). The record is from Rfam. NCBI's taxonomy places the organism in Eukaryota, Fungi, Basidiomycota, Agaricomycetes, Agaricales, Lyophyllaceae.